Molecule: small nuclear RNA, 102 nt
Organism: Myodes glareolus (Bank vole)
Lineage: Eukaryota; Metazoa; Chordata; Mammalia; Rodentia; Cricetidae
Source: RefSeq, a predicted model, not a curated record
CUUGCUUUGACAUGACAUCCUAAAAUUGGAACAAUAUAGAGAUGUUAGCAAUGGACCCUGUGCAAGAAGGACAUGCAGAUUUGUAAAGCAAUUAUUUCUAUU